RNAcentral lists this ribosomal RNA (468 nucleotides) under uncultured bacterium. RNAcentral's name for it is "partial 16S ribosomal RNA". It matches the Rfam family "Bacterial small subunit ribosomal RNA", at positions 28 to 507 of the family's 1533-position model. The record is from RNAcentral.
GACGAACGCUGGCGGCGUGCUUAACACAUGCAAGUCGAACGGAAAGGCCCUGCUUUUGUGGGGUGCUCGAGUGGCGAACGGGUGAGUAACACGUGAGUAACCUGCCCUUGACUUUGGGAUAACUUCAGGAAACUAGGGCUAAUACCUGAUAGGAGCUCCUGCUGCAUGGUUGGGGUUGGAAAGUUUCGGCGGUUGGGGAUGGACUCGCGGCUUAUCAGCUUGUUGGUGGGGUAGUGGCUUACCAAGGCUUUGACGGGUAGCCGGCCUGAGAGGGUGACCGGCCACAAUGGAACUGAGAUACGGCCCAGACUCGAAUGGGAGGCAGCAGAGGGGAAUAUUGCACAAUGGGCGGAAGCCAGAUGCGGCAACGCCGCGUGCGGGAUGACGGCCUUCGGGUUGUAAACCGCUGUCGCCUGUGACGAAGCGUGAGUGACGGUAAUGGGUAAAGAAGCACCGGCUAACUACGUG